UACUGGCCGGCUAAUCAUCCGGUUCUACCUCGUGUUGGAGAGUCGCACUUCUUUUAAGGUGAGCAUUACGUUUCGUGGUCGGAAAACAAUAGGAAGAACGUUCACAGGCACAGCUACCGAGGUUGCCGAGACUCCGCAGGUCCGCUGCGUCCUCCGCGCCUCCGACCACCCCGCCGGCCCCGGCGCCCAGCGCCGCUCCGUCUCCGAACCCGCCUCCACGCCCGCAGCCCCGCCGGCCGCGGGAGGAGGGGGGGGACCAGCGGCCGAAGUCUUGGUCGUGUUGUUUAUGUGGUUUAGUGUUCUAGUUUGUACCUAAACUCUGGUCGGUACGCAAGAUGAGACGACGAAGACCACGAGGACGAAGGAAAAAGGCGUUUACGCAGCUCGUUUGAGAUAUAACACAUAUACCCUCUCUUCGUCGUACUACUAGGUAGGCACCAAUGGCGCAGUGUGGUACUACAUGACUGGAGACAAAAGCCUUCAUUCCUACUUCGGGACUUCAGAUAUCAUAUGUCAAUGGCCGUGCCUAAAAGGCCAAAACGUCGCUACGAUUGACUUUGUGUUCGACUCAAGGGACGUCUUAAAGGAGUUCAAGAUAGGCAUUUCGGUUUGUGAAUAGUGUUCCCCGUUUGUUGAGCCUCGACCCUAAAAGAACCAGAACUGAUGAUGGUCAGUGGUGCACCAAGACGGCCGGAGGAGGUCUUUCGUUUCAUGCCGCUUCUAUAGUAGUAACCACAGUAGCUAAGUCCAUAACUGGGGCUCCUGGAGUUCCCGCUCAUAUACAGGGGUUCCCUGAACUCACCGGUACCGUGCGUACGUCGGAGCUGGUAGCGACCUUUGGCGCACACCUUAUUGCCGUGCAGCAUGCGCGACCGUAGGUUUUAUUCUGCUCCUCCCCGUUUUUUACCACCGCGCGCUGCACGGGACCGGCGACGUACGCUGGAACGCCGUCGACGCUCGCUUGCGGUACCGACCUAAGCUCGCGAGGAGAGGUACCAGCGGCGUCGGCUUGCGCGAUCAGCGGUACCGACCGAAGGCAAAAGGAAGGUACUCUCGACGUAGGGCCCGCUGCCACCGCCACGACCUCGGCAAGUUCGCUACUCGCUGUUGGUCGUUCCGGUCUUGGGGUGACAGGCCUUUCGACGUUGUCCGGUGUGUUAUACGACCUUCGUCACAAGGGACCUCGACCUUGGUAGCAUGUAAAAACGACGUUAGUCGUCAGCGGUCCCCCACUUCUUCCGCUCUAUGCCACGAUGAUGGUUUCUCAGAAAAACGACCUUGGCCUAGGACCUCUACGACCUUGGUAGAAGAUAAAAACGACGUUGGUCGUCGAUGGCCCCACUUUUGCAGCUCCAUGCCACGAUGAUGGUGUAUAUC
RNAcentral lists this ribosomal RNA (1377 nucleotides) under Triticum aestivum (bread wheat). Its description in RNAcentral is "partial small subunit ribosomal RNA". Lineage: Eukaryota; Viridiplantae; Streptophyta; Magnoliopsida; Poales; Poaceae. The record is from RNAcentral.